GCCUGGCUGGCUCAGUCGAUGAAGUAUGAGACUUUUGAUCUCGGGGUUGUGAGUUCAAGCCCCAUGUUGGGCG
This 73-nucleotide transfer RNA is filed under the name Felis catus (domestic cat). It matches the Rfam family "tRNA". Rfam says of the family: Transfer RNA (tRNA) molecules are approximately 80 nucleotides in length. Their secondary structure includes four short double-helical elements and three loops (D, anti-codon, and T loops). The record is from Rfam by way of RNAcentral. Lineage: Eukaryota; Metazoa; Chordata; Mammalia; Carnivora; Felidae.